RNAcentral lists this small RNA (479 nucleotides) under Pan troglodytes (chimpanzee). RNAcentral's name for it is "processed transcript". Lineage: Eukaryota; Metazoa; Chordata; Mammalia; Primates; Hominidae. The record is from RNAcentral.
CUCCCCAAAGUCCCUGACUCCCGUGUGGCGUUUAUAGAGUCUCUGAAGAGAGCAGAUAAAAUCCCCCCAUCUCUGUACUCCACCUACUGUCAGGCCUGCUCCGCUGCUGAAGAAAAGCCAGAAGAUGCAGCCCUGGGAGUGAGGGCAGAACCCAGCUCUGCUGAGGAGCCCCUGGGACAGCUCAGAGCUGCACUGGGAGAGCUGAGAGCCUCCAUGACAGACCCCAGCCAGCGUGAUGUUAUAUCAGCACAGGUGGCAGUGAUUUCUGAAAGACUGAGGGCUGUCCUGGGCCACAAUGAGGAUGACAGCAGCGUUGAGAUAUCAAAGAUUCAGCUCAGCAUCAACACGCCGAGACUGGAGCCACGGGAACACAUGGCUGUGGACCUCCUGCUGACGUCUUUCUGUCAGAACCUGAUGGCUGCCUCCAGUGUCGCUCCCCCGGAGAGGAGCACGCGGCGAUGCUGAGUUUCAUCAAAUAG